UGCUGUGGCUCAGCUGGUAGAGCAAUUGAUUCGUAAUCAAUAGGUCGGCGGUUCAAAUCCGCCCAGC
This 67-nucleotide transfer RNA is filed under the name pig gut metagenome. It matches the Rfam family "tRNA". From Rfam's summary of the family: Transfer RNA (tRNA) molecules are approximately 80 nucleotides in length. The record is from RNAcentral.